GAUGAAGAACGUAGCAAAAUGCGAUACUUGGUGUGAAUUGCAGAAUCCCGUGAACCAUCGAGUUUUUGAACGCAAGUUGCGCCCGAAGCCUUUUGGCCGAGGGCACGUCUGCCUGGGCGUCACGCAUCGCGUCGCCCCUCACAAUUCUCCGUAAAGGGAACAUGUGUUUUGGGGGCGGAUAUUGGUCUCCCGUGCUCAUGGCGUGGUUGGCCGAAAUAGGAGUCCUUUCGAUGGACGCACGAACUAGUGGUGGUCGUAAAAACCCUCGUCUUUUGUUUCGUGCUGUUGCUCGCAAGGUAAACUCUUUAAAAACCCCAAUGUGUCGUCUCUUGACGACGCUUCGACCGCGACCCCAGGUCAGGCGGGACUACCCGCUGAGUUUAAGCAUAUCAAUAAGCGGAGGA
Molecule: unclassified non-coding RNA, 404 nt
Filed under: soil metagenome
Description: partial contains 5.8S ribosomal RNA, internal transcribed spacer 2, and large subunit ribosomal RNA
Rfam family: 5.8S ribosomal RNA (bases 1-122)
Source: RNAcentral